RNAcentral lists this transfer RNA (69 nucleotides) under Marmota monax (woodchuck). It matches the Rfam family "tRNA". From Rfam's summary of the family: Transfer RNA (tRNA) molecules are approximately 80 nucleotides in length. Their secondary structure includes four short double-helical elements and three loops (D, anti-codon, and T loops). Further hydrogen bonds mediate the characteristic L-shaped molecular structure. tRNAs have two regions of fundamental functional importance: the anti-codon, which is responsible for specific mRNA codon recognition, and the 3' end, to which the tRNAs corresponding amino acid is attached (by aminoacyl-tRNA synthetases). tRNAs cope with the degeneracy of the genetic code in two manners: having more than one tRNA (with a specific anti-codon) for a particular amino acid; and 'wobble' base-pairing, i.e. permitting non-standard base-pairing at the 3rd anti-codon position. The record is from Rfam by way of RNAcentral. Lineage: Eukaryota; Metazoa; Chordata; Mammalia; Rodentia; Sciuridae.
GGUGUUGUAGCUCAGUGGUAGAGCGCUUGCCUAGCAUGUAUGAGGCACUAAGUUUGAUUCUUAACACUG